RNAcentral lists this ribosomal RNA (1491 nucleotides) under metagenome. RNAcentral describes it as "bacterial SSU rRNA". It matches the Rfam family "Bacterial small subunit ribosomal RNA". The record is from RNAcentral.
AGAGUUUGAUCAUGGCUCAGGACGAACGCUGGCGGCGGGCUUAACACAUGCAAGUCGAACGAGAAACUUAGAGCUUGCUCUAGGUGGACAGUGGCGCACGGGUGCGUAACGCGUAGGCAACCUGCCUUCAAGAGGGGAAUAACCACCGGAAACGGUAGCUAAUUCCGCAUAUUGUCUGUUUAUCGCAUGAUUUACAGAUGAAAGCCUUCGGGUGCUUGAAGAUGGGCCUGCGUCGGAUUAGGUAGUUGGUAGGGUAAUGGCUUACCAAGCCUACGAUCCGUAGCUGGUCUGAGAGGAUGAUCAGCCACACUGGCACUGAGACACGGGCCAGACUCCUACGGGAGGCAGCAGUGAGGAAUAUUGCGCAAUGGGGGAAACCCUGACGCAGCCACGCCGCGUGGAGGAUGACACCCCUAUGGGGCGUAAACUCCUUUUAUAUGAGAAGAAAACCCGAUUCUGUCGGGCCUGACGGUAUCAUAUGAAUAAGCACCGGCUAACUCCGUGCCAGCAGCCGCGGUAAUACGGAGGGUGCAAGCGUUGUCCGGAAUCACUGGGUGUAAAGGGUGUGUAGGCGGGACAGCAAGUCAGAGGUGAAAUCCUACGGCUCAACCGUAGAACUGCCUUUGAGACUGCUGUUCUUGAGUCUCGGAGAGGUUACCAGAGUUCGUGGUGUAGCGGUGAAAUGCGUAGAUAUCACGAGGAAUACCCGUGGCGUAGGCAGGUAACUGGACGAGUACUGACGCUGAGGCACGAAAGCGUGGGGAGCAAACAGGAUUAGAUACCCUGGUAGUCCACGCUGUAAACGAUGGAUGCUCGGUGUCGCCCUAAUUGUUGGGCGGUGCCCAAGCUAACGCGUUAAGCAUCCCACCUGGGGAGUACGCUCGCAAGAGUGAAACUCAAAGGAAUUGACGGGGGCCCGCACAAGCGGUGGAGCAUGUGGCUUAAUUCGAUGCAACGCGAAGAACCUUACCUAGGCUCGAACACUACCGGACAGACCCUGAAAGGGGUUUUCCUUCGGGCUGGUAGUGAGGUGCUGCAUGGCUGUCGUCAGCUCGUGUCGUGAGAUGCUGGGUUAAGUCCCGCAACGAGCGCAACCCCCAUUGCUAGUUACCAGCGGAUAAUGCCGGGGACUCUAGUGAGACUGCCUGCGCAAGCAGUGAGGAAGGUGGGGACGACGUCAAGUCAUCAUGGCCCUUAUGCCUAGGGCUGCACACGUGCUACAAUGGACAGUACAAUGGGCUGCUACCUCGCGAGAGGAUGCGAAUCCAUAAAGCUGUUCUCAGUUCGGAUCGUAGUCUGCAACUCGACUACGUGAAGCCGGAAUCGCUAGUAAUCGCGUAUCAGCAACGACGCGGUGAAUACGUUCCCGGGCCUUGUACACACCGCCCGUCAAGCCAUGGAAGCCGGGGGUACCCGAAGUCCGUGACCCAACCUUAGGGAGGGAGCGGCCGAAGGUAAAACCGGUGACUGGGGCUAAGUCGUAACAAGGUA